CUCUCGAUAGCUCAGUUGGUAGAGCGAUUGACUGUAGAGGAAUACAAUUGAUAUCAAUCGGUCGCUGGUUCGAUUCCGGCUCGAGAGA
Non-coding RNA from Seminavis robusta, 88 nucleotides. The record is from the annotation of a GenBank genome assembly. Lineage: Eukaryota; Bacillariophyta; Bacillariophyceae; Naviculales; Naviculaceae.